This is a long non-coding RNA of Pogoniulus pusillus (Red-fronted tinkerbird), 650 nucleotides long. RefSeq lists it as uncharacterized. Lineage: Eukaryota; Metazoa; Chordata; Aves; Piciformes; Lybiidae. The record is from RefSeq and is a predicted model, not a curated record. The transcript has 2 exons.
GCUGAAACAACAGCUUAUUCCGUGCCUUCUGUAGUAGAAGAAAAUGAUUUACACAGUACAAUCAAGUGAAUUCCGGGGGUUGUUACUAAAUCUGCAAAAUUAGGCACAAAUUGAGAACUAGAAUAAGUCACACAGAUCACCUAAGCAGCUGUGUGUGGCCUAUCCCAGCAUAAGCUGGCUCUGUCUUAACUUGCCACUGCGCUGGAGGAUGUGCUGUGACACUCUCCUUCUAACCAAGUUGCUGUGAAGCUUCUGUCAGAGGGACCAGACUGAUUUCCACAGGAGAUGCCUGAAUAGAAUGGUUCUAUUGAAUUGCUGGAAGCCAGGAAUUUGCAAGUGGCCAUUCCACCUUCUAUAGCUCAUGUCUAAAUAGCAUGUGUGACUCUAACUUAGAGGACAAGUUUAAGAUUAAUAAUAUGUACCUGACAUAAAGCACAUUUCAGCAUUGCUUCUCCUGCCAGUACUCCAAGACUGUCAGCGACAACUCUACUUCAGUGAUGCUACAAGCAUGUAUUUCAUCCUGGAAAGUUCUGCAUUCUCUGCUCUCUCUCUUACAAGCAGAAAGAUCACUGAAACUUGGAGUUAACAAUUUAAAAAAAACAUACUCAUCAUCUUUGACAUGCUAGAAAGGCUUAAUCACAGAGUCUGAA